This 348-nucleotide ribosomal RNA is filed under the name uncultured Sebacinales. Its description in RNAcentral is "eukaryotic LSU rRNA". It matches the Rfam family "Eukaryotic large subunit ribosomal RNA", at positions 81 to 429 of the family's 3401-position model. Lineage: Eukaryota; Fungi; Basidiomycota; Agaricomycetes; Sebacinales. The record is from RNAcentral.
UAGUAACGGCGAGUGAAGAGGGAAAAGCUCAAAUUUUAAAUCUGGUGUUUUGACUCCCGAGUUGUAAUCUAGAGAAGUGUUUUCCGUGUCGGACCGUGUACAAGUUCCUGGAACGGGGCGUCAUAGAGGGUGAGAAUCCCGUAUAUGCCACGGACUACCGAUGCUCGUGAUACACUCUCAACGAGUCGAGUUGUUUGGGAAUGCAGCUCAAAAUGGGUGGUAAAUCCAUCUAAAGCUAAAUAUUGGCGAGAGACCGAUAGCGAACAAGUACCGUGAGGGAAAGAGAAAAGCACUUUGGAAAGAGAGUGAAACAGUACGUGAAAUUGUUGAAAGGGAAACGCUUAAAGU